GCUGCUUUUUGCUAUGCGCACUGGUUUGCUGUGAUCUAGAUCCCACGUUCAGGCAGAAAUGCAGGCGUGCCCCUGAGGAGCCAGUGCUGAGACCGCUGAGGUGGCGUCCAGAAGAACAGAAGAGGCUGUUUAGCAGGAGA
RNAcentral lists this long non-coding RNA (140 nucleotides) under Capra hircus (goat). RNAcentral's name for it is "lncRNA (ENSCHIG00010015753.1)". The record is from RNAcentral. Lineage: Eukaryota; Metazoa; Chordata; Mammalia; Artiodactyla; Bovidae.